CCCGUCCGCCGCCCGCCCGCGGUGCAUGAGCUCGUCCCCCCGCGCCCGGCCCAGUGUGUUGCGGGGGACCCUCCCUCGGGCGCCCGCCCGCCCGCCUCCAUGGCCAUGCUGCUGGACGGGGGGGCGCAGUUCCCCGCCCUGGGAGUCGGGGGCUUCGGGGCCCCCCGCCACCCCGAGGGGCCCAGCCGCGGCGACGCCGGGAUGGGGCUGAGCCCCUUCGCCGACGCCUCGCACGCGGCGGCCUUUAAGCUCAGCCCGGCCGCCCACGAGCUCUCGUCCGGGCAGAGCUCGGCCUUCACCCCGCAGGGCUCGGGCUAUGCCAACGCGCUGGGGCACCACCACCACCACCACCACGCCGGCCAGGUGCCCGCCUACGGGGGCGCGGCCGCCGCCUUCAACUCCACGCGGGACUUUCUCUUCCGCCAGCGGGGCUCCGGCCUGGGGGAGGCCGCCUCCGGGGGCGCCCAGCACAGCAUCUUCGGCGGCUCCCCCGGCAGCCUGCACGGGGCGCCGGGCAUCGCGGAGAGCCCGGGCUACCUGCUCUUCCCGGGGCUGCACGAGCAGGGCCCCAGCCACACCUCGCCCGGCGGGCACGUGGAGAGCGGGCAGAUGCACCUGGGGCUGCGGGGGGAUCUCUUCGGCCGGCCCGACCCUUACCGGGCCGUCUCCAGCCCCCGCACGGACCCGUACGCCGGCGCCCAGUUCCACAACUACACCCCCAUGAACAUGAAUAUGGGCAUGAACGUGGCGGCCCAUCACCACCACGGCCCGGGGGCUUUCUUCCGCUACAUGCGCCAGCCCAUCAAGCAAGAGCUGUCCUGCAAGUGGGUCGAGGAGAGCCAGAUCAACCGCCCCAAAAAGAGCUGCGACCGGACAUUCACUACCAUGCACGAACUGGUCACCCAUGUGACGAUGGAGCAUGUCGGGGGGCCGGAGCAGAACAACCACAUCUGCUACUGGGAGGAAUGUCCGAGGGAAGGCAAGUCCUUCAAGGCGAAAUACAAACUGGUGAACCACAUUCGGGUUCACACGGGGGAAAAACCGUUCCCUUGCCCGUUCCCAGGCUGCGGGAAAAUCUUUGCCCGGUCCGAGAAUCUGAAGAUCCACAAAAGGACGCACACAGGUGAAAAACCUUUUAAGUGUGAAUUUGAAGGCUGUGAUAGACGUUUUGCGAACAGUAGUGACAGAAAGAAGCACAUGCACGUACACACUUCAGACAAGCCUUAUAUCUGUAAAGUGUGUGACAAGUCUUACACGCACCCCAGCUCUCUUAGGAAACACAUGAAGGUUCACGAAUCGCAAGGGUCAGAUUCCUCCCCAGCUGCCAGUUCAGGCUACGAAUCGUCCACUCCGCCCGCUAUAAGUUCUGCUAACAGUAAAGACUCUACUAAAAGUCCUCCAUCAGUCCUUCAGAGUAACACAAGCCACAACCCCGGACUUCCACCCAAUUUUAACGAAUGGUACGUCUAAGGACAGAGCAGCCGAGCUUAACUGUAGACUGGACCAAAUGAAUUCGAAGGAAAACGGAAAAUCAAUCACAGGGAAAUGGAGUUUUCAGGCAAACAACCGUACAGGGCUACAUCCAGUUCAUUGCAAUUAUCCAGGAAAGGGUUUUUAAUUUUUUUUUGCAAGAUCCAGACGCUGGACUAGCUAUGUCCUUUUCUCAGGAUUGGAUUUUUUUUGUUUGGUUUUGGCAUUUGCAGUAAUUUCUUUGAUUUUUUUUUCUCUCUUCCCUCUUCCAAUCGCCUCUCCUUCUCCCUUCAUUUGAACACUGUUUUUUAUUUUUUUAUUAUCGUCUCUCUCCUUUUUUGGCUUUUUCUUCCUUCGGUGGGAUGCUGACAUGAGGAUGAAAAUUCUCCUUCGCCUUAGUGGUGAUUGUUUAAACUCACAUUCUUAAACCGUGCCAAAGUCCUGUUAUGUCUUGAAUCUCUCUCUCUCUCUCUCUAUCUCUCUCUCUCAAAGCAUUAUACUUGUGAAUGUAUUCUCGUCUGAUGGGUUCGUCCGGUAUUUUUCAAGAUGAGGCUGUGGUGUUAUUCUACCCAGAUUGUGACCGUUUAGUAAAACAGUUGCCUUUUUGUAAUACCUUUUUUUUGUAAAUACAUAUCCAUGAUGCCAUAUUUAUCGUUUGUAAUUUAAUUAUUGAUACGAAGUGCCGGGAACUGAACAAUAUUUAUGGGGGGUGGGGUCGGGGAGUGUUUUCUAACAAAAAAAAAAACCCAACAAAAAAAAACCCAACAAAAAAAUUACAAAACUCUGUACAGUUUUUGGUUAUAACUGCUUUAGCAUUAAAAGUUUAUUGUUUUUGGAAGAACACAAUGGAAUAGUUUUUGAACCACUGUUUUGUAUUUCCUUAUCGCUUUGUGAACUACUCUUUGCACCCAGCACUGGCCAAGUAACUACAUAUCAAAGUGUUUGUAUCUCAUUACCAUUCUUUAUAGGAAUUGGUUUCCCUAUUGCAGGCUAGCAAUAUACACUGUUUCUUUCAAUAGGGGAAUGAGGGUCGUUGUUGUUUUUCCUCAUCUCCGCUCCCACAUCCCAAUGGUUUGUUUUCACCUCGAGCUUCAUAUGUUUGUUUCUGCACUUUCUGCCAGCGAAUCAAAUAUUACUGACCUGUCCUGUGAGGGUCCAUGACGUGUCUCUAUCUUGCACUUCAAAGAAGAGGAGCUGCAUUUAGGACUCCCAGUGCUGAUCCGUAAACAUCAGAAGGAUUUAACAAUAUAUGAUGCGUUACUGACUAUCACCAUUUGUGUACAUACGUAAACUGUUAGCAUUUCCCCCCUAGCUCUAAGGAUGUGAGUAAUUUGAUGGGAGCCCUGCUGCACCUUUCAUGUCUGGAUUUCCCCCAGACAGUCCCAUCUUGAACUUGACACUGGGAAGGGCUGGACUGAAAAUACUGUUUGUUUACUUCUUGCUUUAGGAUUUCUUAGGCAACUUAGAUCAAAUGCACAAAUCGUUUUAAAAAAAGGAGGAAAAGUUUAUCGGAAAUAACGUCUGAGCCCAAGCAGAUCGAUUACGAUCUUUGACACGAUGCCUGCACUUCCAAAAUGAGGACUAGUUCGCCACUUUCUACAGUGCUCUUUUCCAUGUCCUACUUUUCCCACGUGAAAGAAUUAUCUUUGAUUUUAAAAAAUGCAUUUCGAUUUCUUCUGUGGAGCUAAAUAUUUCUUUUGCGAUAUACAGAGCAGUCUUGAACCGCAAGGCAACGGACUAGAAACCCUGCACCACUAAAGUUCUCAACUUUACACUGAAGCAAGUAGCCCUGUGACACGCUGCAAAAUAAAGAAAAAGCCCAAGUCUUGCAAGAGAUCCAUGCAGGGAACUCUGUCUUGUCAGUGAGACCAAGGUUUACCCCUGUUACAUUUGGUGUUUCAAGCUGGGCACCAGAAAAAGGAGCCCAACAAAUGAGGAUUAAGGUCUUGAUCCAGCAUCUACUGGAGUCAGUGGAAACCUUUCCAUUUAUUUCAGUGGGCCCAACUGUUGAGAUAACUUUUGCAAACACUAGUUACUAUGAAUAUGCAAACACUAGUUACUAUGAAUAUGCUAAUUUCUAUGCAGUUUUAAUUUAUUAAAUGUACCAUACUCUACUGUAGAGUCCAUGUGAUGCUGUCUUUAAUCAGGAUGACAUUGCAUUGAAGUCUACAUCGAUUAUAGUCCCAAUUUCAGACUAAGACUACUUGAUCAACUUUUUAAAACACUGUUAAGGAACUAGAACAACUGUAAUACUAAAGUGACUCUGAGCUUAUUAU
Dermochelys coriacea (leatherback sea turtle) is the source of this 3746-nucleotide RNA transcript. It is a transcript of the gene named Zic family member 3, with no coding region annotated. The transcript has 5 exons. The record is from RefSeq and is a predicted model, not a curated record. Lineage: Eukaryota; Metazoa; Chordata; Testudines; Dermochelyidae.